AGAGUUUGAUCAGUCGGCUCAGAGCGAACGCUGGCGGCAGGCCUAAAACAUGCAAGUCGAACGGAUCCUUCGGGAUUAGUGGCGGACGGGUGAGUAACACGUGGGAACGUGCCUUUUGGUUCGGAACAACUCAGGGAAACUUGAGCUAAUACCGAAUGUGCCCUUCGGGGGAAAGAUUUAUCGCCAUUAGAGCGGCCCGCGUCUGAUUAGCUUGUUGGUGAGGUAAAGGCUCACCAAGGCGACGAUCAGUAGCUGGUCUGAGAGGAUGAUCAGCCACACUGGGACUGAGACACGGCCCAGACUCCUACGGGAGGCAGCAGUUAGGAAUCUUGCGCAAUGGGGGAAACCCUGACGCAGCCAUGCCGCGUGAAUGAUGAAGGUCUUAGGAUUGUAAAAUUCUUUCAGCGGGGACGAUAAUGACGGUACCCGCAGAAGAAGCCCCGGCUAACUUCGUG
This 455-nucleotide ribosomal RNA is filed under the name uncultured bacterium. RNAcentral describes it as "bacterial SSU rRNA". It matches the Rfam family "Bacterial small subunit ribosomal RNA", at positions 8 to 507 of the family's 1533-position model. The record is from RNAcentral.